GAGACAAGCAUAUGACUACUGGCAGGAUCAACCAGGUAGCAUUCCUUCGCGACGCCGACGCCCGCAUGAGACCCGGCAGGCCGUACGGCCGCGGGCUCAAGACGGGCACGGCAGUCGUUCGUGUCGUAAGACAAAUGCGUUGCUUGGGCAAACGGAGCUAAUAAAUAGACCCCGCACCCGCACAUAACAUUCUGCAUCCGAGAGCACGGGCAAUGCACCUCAUGGGCCGAGGCAGCCACGCAGCUGGGCGAAGCAUGCCGGGAACACGAGGCUUGCCUGAUGUCCACCCCAAAACCCGUGAGGGCAGGGGGCGGAAAGGGACUAACGAAACCAUCGGAUUCCUUUCGAUAGGUAAGCAACACAGGAUACCGAA
Molecule: unclassified non-coding RNA, 373 nt
Filed under: Bursera hindsiana
Lineage: Eukaryota; Viridiplantae; Streptophyta; Magnoliopsida; Sapindales; Burseraceae
Description: partial external transcribed spacer
Source: RNAcentral